This 253-nucleotide ribosomal RNA is filed under the name uncultured bacterium. RNAcentral's name for it is "partial 16S ribosomal RNA". It matches the Rfam family "Bacterial small subunit ribosomal RNA", at positions 524 to 776 of the family's 1533-position model. The record is from RNAcentral.
UACGUAGGGUGCAAGCGUUAAUCGGAAUUACUGGGCGUAAAGCGUGCGUAGACGGCUAUCUAAGUCGGGUGUGAAAGCCCCGGGCUCAGCCUGGGAAUUGCAUUCGAGACUGAAUAGCUAGGGUGCGGUAGAGGGAAGCGGAAUUUCCGGUGUAGCGGUGAAAUGCGUAGAUAUCGGAAGGAACAUCAGUGGCGAAAGCGGCUUCCUGGACCAGCACCGACGUUCAGGCACGAAAGCGUGGGGAGCAAACAGG